This is a non-coding RNA of Anolis sagrei ordinatus, 750 nucleotides long. The record is from RefSeq and is a predicted model, not a curated record. NCBI's taxonomy places the organism in Eukaryota, Metazoa, Chordata, Lepidosauria, Squamata, Anolidae.
UCCCUUAUUUAAGAUGGCCCCUGGUCUUCUGGUCAGGCCACAGGACUAGGGUGGCGUGGGGUUUUGUUUUGUUUUCCGGGGGGAGGCUGUGCUUCAAACUAGGAGCCCGGCCGACCAAUAGACGUCUUUCCAAGCUUUGUCAUGGCUAUUAAUUAAAACCUCCACGGCCCCGGGAAUUCCUAUGCUUGGCUCAGAAGAAGUCGCUGAGCGAUCUGGGUUGUGGUGCCUGUGGUUUAAUUUGGUUUUAUUUCUAUUCCUAAAUUAAACCCUCUUACCUGAAGUUAUUUCUCAGCGCCAGGACCUCGUUUGGAGACACGGAGGAGAAAGAAGGAGGCGCAAGGAGUUCGGAAGCCAAGGAAGGAGUUUGGGAGCCUUUCUGAUAAUGUAAACAAGCUGAGACUCCAAGCACAUUUGUAAUGCAACCCUGAAGUACAGUCCACACAAUUCAGUGUGGCUUAUUCCCAGAUAGGAUUCUGUUUGGUUGCUAUUUUGAGUCAAGCUUGGAACCCCUACAAGUGAAUGUCUAAUUUCAAUGGGUUUGUACCGCUCUCCCAAGUUUUUUCUUUGGGGGAAAAGGACUAGUUAGAAUCAAAAAAUAGGAUGGAGAAUGGUUCUUUUGCCUAUCUCAUUAAGAUAUUUGAAUUCUUAUCCUAGGAUCAGAAGAAGAAAGGAGAGCCCACUUUGAAAGUAGCAAGAGACGUGAAAGUGAAUGUGUCAGAAAAUGAUCAAUAAAGUAAAGUGCUUAAAAUA